This 255-nucleotide ribosomal RNA is filed under the name uncultured bacterium. Its description in RNAcentral is "partial 16S ribosomal RNA". It matches the Rfam family "Bacterial small subunit ribosomal RNA", at positions 793 to 1055 of the family's 1533-position model. The record is from RNAcentral.
GUCCACGCCGUAAACGAUGUUCACUCGCUGUUUGCGAUACACAGCAAGCGGCCAAGCGAAAGCAUUAAGUGAACCACCUGGGAGUACGAUCGCAAGGUUGAAACUCAAAGGAAUUGACGGGGCCCGCACAAGCGGAGGAACAUGUGGUUUAAUUCGAUGAUACGCGAGGAACCUUACCUGGGCUUAAAUGUAGAGCGACAGAUUGUGAAAGCAGUACUUCUUCGGACGAUCUACAAGGUGCUGCAUGGUUGUCGU